This 276-nucleotide ribosomal RNA is filed under the name uncultured prokaryote. RNAcentral describes it as "partial 16S ribosomal RNA". It matches the Rfam family "Bacterial small subunit ribosomal RNA", at positions 524 to 801 of the family's 1533-position model. The record is from RNAcentral.
UACGUAGGGGCUAGCGUUAUCCGGAAUUACUGGGCGUAAAGGGUGCGUAGGUGGUUUCUUAAGUCAGAGGUGAAAGGCUACGGCUCAACCGUAGUAAGCCUUUGAAACUGGGAAACUUGAGUGCAGGAGAGGAGAGUGGAAUUCCUAGUGUAGCGGUGAAAUGCGUAGAUAUUAGGAGGAACACCAGUUGCGAAGGCGGCUCUCUGGACUGUAACUGACACUGAGGCUCGAAAGCGUGGGGAGCAAACAGGAUUAGAUACCCUGGUAGUCCCUGAG